GAUUAAGGGUUUCAGGGAUGUUUGCUGUCAGCGGAGGUUUCAGCAUCACCAGCAGAAUCCCAAGAGCAUCAUAGCCAUCCACCGCGAGGAUGUCAACGUGUGGGAGAGACGUGCUCCUCUGGCACCAUGACACGCCAGUGAGAUCACAGCAGCUGGGCACAAGGUCUCCAACAGACGAGGCAUCCACGACAGACACAUGGUACACAACUACAGAAAUGUCAGCCAGGCCAUCCAGGCAAUGAGGGAUUGUGGGUAUGAAAUAUCCUUAGGUCUGAAGCCCAAGUCUAUUGGACCUCUCACAUUUGUGUUCACUGGCACCGGCAAUGUGUCCAAGGCUGUAAUUACCUCCAAUGGGAAGAUGACUUAUUCUGAAGAUUUCUUCAAAGGUUGAAAGACCGGUAAAAACAUUGCCACAUCCCAGAGCUCAACAACCUGUAGUCUUGAUAUGCUCUCUUCUCGCUAUAGAUCAAACUGCUUUAAGUUAAACACCCCAAUUCCUCUUGAAAAUGUCAGAAACUACACACGUAUUGGUGCUUUUGAAUGAUAAUGUAAAUGUUUCUGUAUUAUUUGAGACAGAUUUGUCCUAAUGAAACCUGUGCAAAACAAAGCCUGUUUAGCUCAGUUUUGUGAAGCUAAUGAAUUUCCCUGGAUGAGUUUGAAACAUUAGACCUUAGUGAGUUCAUACACUGGAAACGUAAAGAGAAAACAAGUUGCUGACCGUGUUUGUUUUGUUCAGACACCGGUUGUGUGCCUCCUUGUGCACUGCCUUAACACCUUGCUUGGCUAGAGAACACGUCCGCUGAGUGCGUUCAACUCUCAUGGGUAGACAAUCUUACUCUUUCACUGCAGCCGCAGUCUCUCCCACUCGCUCUUUUUCUUGGAUUCUUCUGCAUGCCAGGAAAAGAAAUCAAUGCACCAGUUCUUUUUUAGUUUAAGUUUAAUUAUUCUCCAAGGUAAGCUUGUUUUGCAUGAGCCAAUUCAUGGCCAUUAAUUGAUUAUAUCACGUUUUUGAAUCAUUUUCAUUAAAUGGAAUAGCUCAUUCCUUUCAUUUUUUUUCUUAUUCAAGACAUAAUCAAAGCUUCUUUCCGCAGUCAACAUGUCUUUCUCAAAACACUCUCUUUUGCGCUGUCUCGGUCUCAUUCAGUGGUGAAGAACCAGGUGGACAAAACAUUGCACUGAAUUUGCAAGUCUGUUUGUAUCCAUUGUGGCCUAAACUUAAAGGAGCCGCCCACAAGCCAACAUUGAUCUCUUUUUAAUCAAAGGAAAACACCAUUUGACUGUUUUGAUUUACUUGUGUUCUUGUCCUGUCUAAGAACUGUGGCAAACAAUAGAAUCUGUUCUACGACAUUGAUUAAGCGUAAAUUUAGCGCAAAACUAGCCCAAAAAUGAGUUCCUUACCGCAUUAUCAAGCAGCUGGGUCCGUUGAACUAUCAAAUAGCCCUUUAAGACACUGGAGAAGAUGUACGUACAGCACAUGUUUGCAAAAUAUAAAAAUGUGUUAUCCAACGCAGGCAGAACUGGAGAUACAAGAAAAGAAAAAACUCCUGGAUAUAUUUCAAGAAUCCUCUGAUGACGAAGAUUUUCUAGGAUUUUAGUCUGCA
Long non-coding RNA from Carassius auratus (goldfish), 1601 nucleotides. RefSeq lists it as uncharacterized. The record is from RefSeq and is a predicted model, not a curated record. NCBI's taxonomy places the organism in Eukaryota, Metazoa, Chordata, Actinopteri, Cypriniformes, Cyprinidae. The transcript has 3 exons.